AAAUGGGGUUUUAAAGAUUUAAAGUCGUUUUUAAAGGAUAGGCAAUGUUCGAUAAGUAUUUACAAGGGAUUUUAAAAAG
Molecule: small RNA, 79 nt
Filed under: Arabidopsis thaliana (thale cress)
Lineage: Eukaryota; Viridiplantae; Streptophyta; Magnoliopsida; Brassicales; Brassicaceae
Description: ATSL161470
Source: RNAcentral